UAAGGAAUAUUGGACAAUGGUCGCAAGACUGAUCCAGCCAUGCCGCGUGCAGGAAGACGGCCCUAUGGGUUGUAAACUGCUUUUGUACCAGAGAAAACCUAUCUACGUGUAGAUAGCUGAUAGUAUGGUAAGAAUAAGCAUCGGCUAACUUCGUGCCAGCAGCCGCGGUAAGACGAAGGAUGCAAGCGUUAUCCGGAUUCAUUGGGUUUAAAGGGUGCGUAGGCGGGCUUGUAAGUCAGUGGUGAAAUCUCUCAGCUUAACUGAGAAACUGCCAUUGAUACUGCAGGCCUAGAGUAUAGAUGACGUUGGCGGAAUGUGACAUGUAGUGGUGAAAUACUUAGAUAUGUCAUAGAACACCGAUUGCGAAGGCAGCUAACGAAACUAUAACUGACGCUGAGGCACGAAAGUGCGGGGAUCAAACA
This 422-nucleotide ribosomal RNA is filed under the name uncultured bacterium. RNAcentral's name for it is "bacterial SSU rRNA". It matches the Rfam family "Bacterial small subunit ribosomal RNA", at positions 355 to 774 of the family's 1533-position model. The record is from RNAcentral.